Leopardus geoffroyi (Geoffroy's cat) is the source of this 5197-nucleotide long non-coding RNA. RefSeq lists it as uncharacterized. The transcript has 2 exons. The record is from RefSeq and is a predicted model, not a curated record. NCBI's taxonomy places the organism in Eukaryota, Metazoa, Chordata, Mammalia, Carnivora, Felidae.
GGGAGCUUGAGAUGAUGUGUAUUCUAAGGAUUACAGUGAUUGUUACACAACGUAUCGUUUUAGCACUUAAAGUGGGUGAAUUUUAUGUUGUAUGAAUUAUACAACAAUGGUGUGUGUUAAAAAUGAAUUAUACCCUAAUAGCCAAGAUAUUUAGAGCAAGACAUUUAUAUUAAACAUACUACAGAUAUUCAUGGAUAUGCUAGUUAUGUGUACAAAAUUUCUGAAAGUUUCUAUUCAAAAAGCAUGUUUGCCUCUGAGAAAAGAACUGAAAGUCUGGCACAGGAAAGAGAAUUACUUUUCAUUGUAUACCCUCCAACACUGUUAAAAAAAUUACACCAUAUAUAUUAUUGCUUUAGAAACUAAAAAUCCUAGUAAAUUAUUAAAACAAACAACCACAGUUCUGAUCUAAGGACACAGGCAUGCAAAUUUGCUCUUUAAGGUCUAUACUUAUCUGAAUGAGGCUAUAAGCACUUAUGAGUAGCCUAUAAUAAGAGAAAGCCAAUUUCAUCACAAAACAUGGUGUUAGUUCCUAAUAAUUUCAGACAGCUGAGUGCAAAUUGUGGGAAUUUGGGGAAACACGAGAGGUUUCUGACUAGAAAUACUUUAAGCAUCCCUGGGUACUGCAUUCCAUAGGUGAUUGUAGGGGCCACAAAAUAAAAAAAAAUUCCUCACCCCCAAACACAAACAAAAUGCAAGUAGAAUGUAACAUGCUGGAGGACUAAAUGAGAGGUGAAGAAAAUAGGGGGAAAGAAAGAGCAAGAAUAGGGUUGUCUAGCAGGGAGCGGGCAUUUAUACAUACAUAGAUGAUUUCAAAAUACUUCCUCCUGCUAUGCCAAGCCUUUAAAAAAAGUCAGUACUUAAUGAUUUGUACACAGACUUGUUUCUAUAAAUCAUAUGCUGGAUAUAGUGCACAGUGAUUUUCAGUAUACCUUUUAAUAUCAAGAACCUGUUACAAAGAUUUGCUUUUCAAUUGCACGCUAUGAAGAUACGGCUAUUUAAUUAAGAAUAUUGGUUAUAAUCUUACACAAGCAGUGGUAGAAAUGAAAAUACACUGUCAAUAUUUAACUAUCAAGAUUCAAGUGCUAUUUUGUAAGAAUGCCUUAGGAAGGUCAAAUUUAAGACUUCUGCUACCAUAAUUUCCCUUUUUAAAUAUAGGAACAUAAUACUUUGCAUACCGUCGCUCAAAAAUGCUUAGUAUUUGAUGUCCAGUUUCACACAAGGAAUCAAUAAUGUAAAUAUUUCCUUGAAGUGGAAACACCUGCAGAGAGGGCCAAAUAAAUCAUAAAAGGUGCUUCUUUUCAAGCUUUGACUGCUUUCAUUUGCAUUUCAAACCGACAGGGCUUUCAUGCUGUUUUUAGUGCUCUGAAUAGACAAUCACAUAUGUUUGCCACACAUGUGUUCUUCAUGCAUGAGUUCCUUGCAGUACUGCCCCUUCUGACCCACCCUUGCUGUAGCUUCGAAGCUCAUUUACACUCAACAGACAUUUCAUGAACACCUAUUGUGGGUCAUUCGACAUGAAGAGCAGGACCACCAUUGUAUUUUCAUCACAAUAUAACAGAUGAGGCUUCUGAGGCUCCUGGACAUUAAGUAUCCUAAAUCCCAGAAUUGAUACAGAUGAGGGCAGAGGCAUCAAAGAAAUAUGCUCAAUCAACACACAACCCUCCAUGAAAACUCAAACUACAGAAGUACCUUGAAAAGAAGAGCAAUUUUAUAUGAAUGGCAAGCAACUCGCAUGCUUACUUUCAAAUAGUGUUAACUGUAGACCUCAAAGAGUAUGGUUCUUUUUUACAUAAGGGGCUCCUAGGGGCCAACAUGGCAUGAUCAUCACUACCUUCUGAACUUACUCCAACACAAUAUCAAAUGGCUGCAAAGCUUCCCUUGAACUGAUGGGGGACAGCUGGCUGGGGGGAGCCGGGAACUGUGUGUGGACCUGUUUUCCAACAGUUUAUUCAACCCACGAUUGUGGAUUGCAAGCCAUUCUGACUGAGCAAGAAAAAUGAACAGCAAGGAGAGAUGAAAAGGACCAGUGGAUCCAUUUCAUUCAGACCACUGCCUCCUGCAUAACGGUUUCUAAGUGUUUGCUACCAACAUGCACUUUUAAGAAAGGUAGAAGCAGUGUUUUUUUAGUUGGCGGAAAGUAGAAUUUAGUUUUUGAUACUGUGAAAUUGGUACUAGAAUAGGGGGGAAUAACUAUUUCAAGAUGCCAGAGAACAUUUUGCAAACUUGUUCCCUUGAAUUACUUUUGGAAAAAAAAAAAAAAAAAAAAAGACUAUCUGUUCCUGUGUGAGCUGGGUACUCUCUUGAGCAUCCAGACUGAAGAUAGAGGAUGUCAAUUUUGGGGCUGCUCGGCCAAGGAACUCUCACCCCUAGAUCUUUAUCACCCUGUAUGGUAUUUCUGGAAAGUGCUCUGACUGGUGCUUCCACUGCAAGCCAAUCAACAAUCCCUAACUGAUACUGUAACAUUAGAUUAUGUUGAUCUACUCCUUCACUCCCUUCACGUGAAAAAUUGCAGAGCCCCUGCUGCCUUGCUGAAACGAGGGCUGCCAGAAUAUUCCUCCCAUAUGGACUUCUGAACUGGUGCAGCAUUAAGUUGCCGAGCUUCAUAAAAUGGCUGGCAGAAAGAACAAAUGUGCCAUGCUAAAAAUGUGACUGUAUAUUGCAUACACAUGGGUCCAAGGCUUGGUGAGAGAGCCUUCUAACUUGUUAAGAAGAAAACAGACUUGGCAGAUGUGAAUCUUCACUGACAGACUCUGAUCGUUCAAACUUGGACACUUUUAUUUCCAAUUUCAGUUUCUGAAAGAGCAAUAUUUUAUACAAGUAUCAAAAAGUCAGUCUGCUCAUCGGUCCAUAUACACCAAAGAUUGUCAAUUGAAAACCCUCAAACACAUGGAAAAGGGGAAGAAACAUUUUUCUCUUGGCUACACUAAAAUUUUGGAAUCCAGAGAAAGAUGGUUACUAUCUCUUUGAUUUAGGAGAAGAGAAAGGGAAAUCAAUAUGGUCUUUUAUAAUAUCAGACAUCCAAGACUUCCUCCAUAAGGGUAUGUACCUUCCCACGACCCCCUCUACGCCAUACAUUGUACACAGAUUGUUUUGGGGAUGAAUAAUGUCACUAGUCUAGGAGUUUCAGGGAAAUAUGCAGCAAUUUCCCUGCAGAUAAUGGAGAUUAUUCUAUUCUCAGAUGCAGCAGACAAAUGCACAGAGAAAAACAAUAUAAUCCCCUGCUGUUCCCAAUGUUACAAUUAUUAUACCAUACUAAAACUGAUUGGAAUAAGUUAGUGGAGAAUCAUCCUGGAAGAUUUUAAACUGUCCCUCCUUCUAUCACUUCCACUGAACAUAUAUCUACAUGAAUAGAUCCACGUGUCUAUGUUACAUCACUCAUCGCUCACUGAAGGGUUACAGUACAUUUUGUAUUCCAGCCAAAUAUAAUUAACAAUAAAGACAAAACAAUGAAAAUUUCUUGCUUUCUAAACCCAAAUCUAGUAAUAAUUUUAUAAUUAUACUAUCAGCAUUUUAUAUUUCAAGUUCUUGCAAACCAGACUAAAAUGCAAGAGUCAUAACCAUAUAGUCCCAGAUUAAUCAAUCGAAAAGUAAAAGUUUUACAUAGUCUCUUGAUUUUUUUUUUUUUUUGGUUUAGAUAAUGCAAAAAUAGUCCAUUAAAUCCUUUCUACUGAAAAUAUACAUGGUUGGAAGUCACAGAGCAAUGACUAAAUUGGCUAAUAACAAUAGCUACUAUUUAUGUGCUAAGAAUAAUAAAACCGUGUGCCCCAAAUUCCGCCAAGCACUUUAGAGACUUAGUCUCAUUUAAUCCUUGAAAUAACCUGGUGGAGAAUAUGCUAACUUUGUUUUGUAGAAGAAGUGGUCACAGCUUAGCAAAACUAAGUACCACAGUUGCAAAAUAUCAGAGCUGCCUCAGUCUCUACCAUGUUUGGUGUCACUUUCAGGACAGUGUGCUAACUAUAUGCAUUCUCGGUUAUAUAAACUUAUGAAAUUUCAAGAUUCAUUUCAUCGAUUUAUUUGGCAUUUCUUAAGACUUAGACUACAAGUUAAUCAUUUGGAAUUUUGUUUACCCAAUUUCACAUUUUGACUGCCUGAAUUGAACAGCUAUUUUGGCAUAAUGUAAACAUAUGCGAUAUUUUAUCAUGACAUACCAGUCCAGUUUUUAUGCAAAACUUGUAGCCUACAUGAAGAAAUCAAAAUGAUAGAAUUAUCUAUAUCUGAAUGGGCUGACCAGGUGCCCAAGGGUAAAGGAAGUAAAUCAAAACAAAAUGUGGACAAAAUGCCAAGCUACAAAAGAGCACCAAUGGGAAUACAACUUUGAGGUCAUAAACAUCUAAAAAUACAGGGAAAAAAAAGAACAAAAAAUAGUAUAUGAGAUGCUUAAGCUUUGAAAAUCUGGCUUUCAUAAAUCCUAAAAGGCUGAACUACUAGGAAUAGGACUAUGUAUUCCAAUUAACUGAAAUCAGGGUUGAUAAUUUGAAUGGACCCAAGUAUGGGAGGGGCAAUUAGCUCAUUAGCUAACUGUAAAGCAUCAGUUUCCUUAGGUCUAGAACACAGGGAGCAGAUAUUUAGUUGUUAUUUUUUUUUGUACAUUGUAUUUUCAAUUUUAGUUACACAGACAUGCUAACUUUUCUACAUAAACAAUAAUCAAUGAUGGCUGAAGGCAUGUAAUUGUAAACCAUUUCCAUUUUGACUUCUACUCAGGAAACUGACACAGAGAAAGCAUGAAGUUACACUUGAUAUCCAUAAUUACUGGCUUAUGGAAGCAAGAGAUCUAAGGAUUUAGUCAAUGAAUAAUAUAAAAAUACAGUCAGGAGAUCAUAAAUAUUUAUUACUACAUCAAAAGUCUGCUAGUCAAUCUUUCAAUAAUUCCUUCAGCAUAAAAUACUUGAGUCAGGAUAUUGGAAAAAAUAUUAAUUAAAAUUCAGACUUAGCUCUGAAAAGAUGGGAAAUAAGAACUAUAUAAAAUAUUUUCUGCUACAAACUGUUUUAUCUAAUUUUUGCCUUGGUUUUAUUUUUCCCUAUGGGUUUGAUUGUAGGUUCUUAAGUUUAUUCACCUAUUAAAUUUGCAAUUAUCAUGUUAAAUCUGACAAGACAUUUACCUGCUUUGUGAAGAAGGAUUAAAGCUAAGAGGCAGAAUUUUGCUUUUUGUAAAGGCAAAUUGAAUACAAAAAUAAACUUCAGUACCUAUUUUACUUAA